Molecule: long non-coding RNA, 1590 nt
Organism: Sceloporus undulatus (fence lizard)
Lineage: Eukaryota; Metazoa; Chordata; Lepidosauria; Squamata; Phrynosomatidae
Exons: 2
Source: RefSeq, a predicted model, not a curated record
UUGGUAUUCAAGUGCAAGGCCAUCCAUCUUCUAUAUUGGAUAAAAUGAGUUGUCAUAACCUGUUGUGUAUGAUAAAUGUUUAAAUAGCUUGGUGUUGGCUGUUUCAUUUUUAUACCUCAUGCCUCCAUGCUAUUCUUCUCUGUGUAGUCUUCAUAUUUAAGUUGUUCCAUCAUGUGACUUUUCCAUUGGAUUUUUAUAUGUGCAAAAACCUCAUGCCCUGUUUUCAAGUGAGGUGGGAACCUUCUUCUAAAAGUGUGCUGAAGAACAAUGAAUUUCACCAUUUAUACAAUUGUUGCAAUCUGCCAGAAUUCACUAAAAAAGUUAGCAUAGAUUUCAUUUUUCCAGAAAGAGUUAUGUGAAUUAAACCUCAUGUGGAUACUAUUAACUUUUCCCUGAACACAGUGAUUCCGAAACUUUGGUCGUACAGAUAUUUUGGACUUCAGCUCCCAAACUUCCUGGGGCUUCUGGGAGCUAAAGUCCAAAACACCUGGAAGACCAAAAUUUGGGGACCACUGCCUUAACAAAUGGGUUUUCCUGAAGUUGUAUAACCAAUUUGGUUUAAACACAGCAACUACUGUGUUUAACUACAGUAGCACAUACACACCCUUGUUUAAUUGGGUUUCAUUAUAACAGUUUCUGUAAAAUCACUCUGUUUUAUCUCUUACUUUUGCUCUUUCCAUGUAAUACUGGGAAUCAUUACCUACUAUAACAUAACAAUAGCUUCUUGCUCAGAAGACAGCACUGUGUUCAGCUUGGGUCAAGUUGGUGGCUGAGAAUUUGUUCGCAAUCUAUCCCAGUGUCAAGCAGGACCCAAAGUUUUUCUGUAUAUCUCUGAGGAAAGAAAGAGGCCUAUUGGAUGAACCAAGCAGGUGAAAAACCUUAAAUCUUCCUCCCCCAAAAAGAGUUGCUAAUAUAACAAGGUUAGCAACACUUUAAAGCAGCAGCAGUGGGUUGUGUUUAAUAGCACACCAGUAGACAAUUUUUAAGAAACCAGCUUGUCGUGGUGUUGUUUGCUCUCUCAUAUAAAGCUGUAUGUGGUAGAUAUUUAGUCGUACCUUUGUGAAUCCUGGCUUACUCUUUUACACAUCUUGGUUCCUGUAUUAACACAUGAUUCUUCCUGUACUUUUUUGUUUUUUACAGAUAGUUUUCGAAGAAGGGAUCAGGCCCAACAGGGUAUGGUAAACUUCCAGUAUGAUGAUUUCAUACAGUGUGUCAUGAGCAUUUAAUUCAAGCUGAAGGAAGAGACUGAUGAGCAUGACCCACAUUCCACUUUGUUUUGCUUUGCACCAAAAAUUAUCAUGGCUGUGUAACUAAAUGGUGGUAUUUGCAUAUUUUAUAAAUAUUGAUUUAUAUGCUUUUAUAGUUUUGAUAACUAACAAAAGAAGGGAAAUUAAAUAAAUCAUGUUUUAAGUUGAUCUGUCUUGCAUAUUUAUAAUCUGCUCAAUGUCAAAGUAAAAAUGUUGUUUGGUUUUAUCAUCUCUUCCUGUACUUUGUUACAUUGCUCAUAUUGGAAUGUGUUUUGUACCUUUGCCACCCAAAUGGUCCAAAGUAGGAAGGUGGGUAUACAUUAAAAUUAGUGUAUAAAAUCGA